RNAcentral lists this unclassified non-coding RNA (220 nucleotides) under Hevea brasiliensis (rubber tree). Lineage: Eukaryota; Viridiplantae; Streptophyta; Magnoliopsida; Malpighiales; Euphorbiaceae. The record is from RNAcentral.
GUUGGCCACGGAGGGAUCCUCACUUCUAGAUUGCUCAAUACUAGUGGGAAGAGAUUUUAAGCUGUCAAAGAGUAAAGGCCCAUGACCAUUCUUUUUAGAUAAAAAUUCAUCAAUAUAUCAACAUUUGGUGUAGACUUCUUAACAGCAUAGAAAACUUUUUCACCCAGGACAUAAAUCUUGAACAAAGUGGAUGAAUGGUCUACAUAUUCUUGAACAACAG